CCAUGUAGACUUUAACAAGCGUGAUAUAAAUAGCUGCAAUGAAUUAAUAACAAAGCUGAGAAAGUGGAAUAAAAGGUGUUUAUAUUCCAAAGGUUCUUGAUUACAAAAGCUGAAAGCAUAAGGAGGUAAAGCACUGCUAUAUAUAGCAGGAGACACUAGCUAACUAGGUUUGUCUAUUCCCUAACAAACUGAUACUAGAUAACAAAGAGGGACCACUGCUAACGGUUAGAGAUCAGGUGAAGCCAAAUAAGUGGUCCUGCAGAAGAUGGAGCAGUCUGUCUGGGAAUGAAGUUUUAUUGUGCGGAAACAACAGAAGAGUCUCACAUAAACAUGUGCAAGAGUGCAUGAUGUUUAUUGAGACGAGAAGCAGCUUAAUGGCUGCAAUACUC
Molecule: long non-coding RNA, 389 nt
Filed under: Daucus carota (carrot)
Lineage: Eukaryota; Viridiplantae; Streptophyta; Magnoliopsida; Apiales; Apiaceae
Description: long non-coding RNA (DCAR_LNC006196)
Source: RNAcentral